CCCUAGCCCUGCCAGUGUAGCAGAAAUGAUAACUGAUGAUGAUGAUGGCAGCAGCACCCGUUCUUCUCUGGGUGAGUAUCUUAAUGUUGUUCGUGUGCAAUUUAAGUUGAGUAAGCUAACCACGUUAUUACAUUAAUGCAUGUAAGGUGAACUAGCAAACACCGUCGUAGUUACAUGUGGCUGUCUUCUUGUUUGAUGGCAGAUACUCCCUUCACCCUGGCCAAAAAGGCUAAAAUGACCAAAGAAAAAGUGGACGAAAUUCAUAGGGCAGUGACAAAAUUUAUAGUCAAAGAUCUCCAUCCAUUUUCAACGGUGGAGUCACCAUCAUUCAGGGAGAUGUCCACUGCCCUUAAUCCAAGGUAUCAGCCCCCAUCGAGGGAUGAUCUAUCCAACACACUUGUACCUGCUUGGUAUUGCGUGGAGAAAAGCAACCUCAUCCAGAAUUUGGCACAGGUUAACAAGGUCGCUAUCACCUGUGAUGGAUGGACCAGUAUUGCUCAGGACCAUUUCCUCACAGUGACUGUUCACUACAUCUACAAAG
Oreochromis aureus is the source of this 541-nucleotide long non-coding RNA. The record is from Ensembl. NCBI's taxonomy places the organism in Eukaryota, Metazoa, Chordata, Actinopteri, Cichliformes, Cichlidae.